Molecule: transfer RNA, 71 nt
Filed under: Polypterus endlicherii endlicherii
Lineage: Eukaryota; Metazoa; Chordata; Cladistia; Polypteriformes; Polypteridae
Description: tRNA-Thr
Rfam family: tRNA
About the family: Transfer RNA (tRNA) molecules are approximately 80 nucleotides in length. Their secondary structure includes four short double-helical elements and three loops (D, anti-codon, and T loops).
Source: RNAcentral
GCCUAAGUAACUUAAAGUUAAAGUGUCGGUCUUGUAAACCGAAUAUGACGGCUAAACUCCAUCCUUAGGCU